AGGGAAUAGAUACCCAGGUAGUCCCAGCCGUAAACGAUGCUCGCUAGGUGUCAGGCAUGGCGCGACCGUGUCUGGUGCCGCAGGGGAAGCCGUGAAGCGAGCCACCUGGGGAAGUACGGCCGCAAGGCUGAAAACUUAAAGGAAUUGGGCGGGGGAGCACAACAACGGGUGGAGCCUGCGGUUUAAUUGGACUCAACGCCGGACAACUCACCGGGGGCGGACAGCAAUAUGUAGGCCAAGCUGAAGAACUUUGCCUGAAUCGCUGAGAGGAGGUGCAUGGCCGUCGCCAGUUCGUACUGUGAAGCAUCCUGUUAAGUCAGGCAACGAGCGAGACCCGUGCCCACUGUUACCAGCAUAUUCUCCGGAAUGA
Molecule: ribosomal RNA, 370 nt
Filed under: uncultured bacterium
Lineage: Bacteria
Description: bacterial SSU rRNA
Rfam family: Archaeal small subunit ribosomal RNA
Source: RNAcentral